UAAUUUUAAAGUGCUGCUCCUCACAUGCAAGAUGACAUCGUCAGGCUCCACUUCCCCAAAUGAGACGCAUCGCCGCUUAGAUGCUGCCAGCGUUUCCCCUCCGGUGAUCCGUUUACACACAAAGAACUCUGAACUUCCUGCAGACGGAAAGUGAGUAGAGACCUCAGGACGAGGCUGCGUGUUCAGCAGAGACGCUCAUAGUUAUUACUGCAUUCGUCACCGAGGGGAUGUACACAGCUCGCUGUGUGCAGACGUAUCGGCACAAAACCACAAGGAGGCACUCGUAGUAGCCGUGAGGUACUCAGAUAUACUCGUAGUAGCCGUGAGGUACUCAGAUAUACUCGUAGUAGCCGUGAGGUACUCAGAUGUACUCGUAGUAGCCGUGAGGUACUCAGAUAUACUCGUAGUAGCCGUGAGGUACUCAGCAGGUAGUUAUGUUUCCAUUAGGCAAAUGAACAGUAACAGUGAACAAGCUGCUUUCUGCUUAGCGUGGGCACAGAGCGGGGGGGGGUUCGAGAGGGCAACUACCCAGUGGGGGUAUUAAGCAACAGGUACCCGGAGUCUGAGGGGUUUGCUGCAGUAGAAUGAGCGUUUCUUACAGUCCAAUAACUUAUUUGACUAAACACGAGGAGGGAAUCUCAGCAGCAAAGUUCACAAAGUCUUUCGUUUUUUUCUCCUCUUCAGCCAAUCAGCGAUCGUAGCGCCGCCACCAUCGCGAGCCCCGCGCUCAGCCCCGCCCACGAGGGUCCGGUGUUGGCCCCGCCUCCGUCCAGGCGCAGAGUGUUGUUGCAGGGUGGGGUUAGGUUUGCCGAGGUGGGGCGGAGCGGGACCCCGCCGGCGGUGGCGGGGACGCGGCGUAACAGGAAGUCGUGUUUCAUGGCAGAGUAGCGAUCGGGGCCGUACGGCACGCUCAGCGUCUCCGUCAAAACCUCGUGACCCGGGUACGUCACCUGUCAAUCAGAAGAGUCGGACUGUGACACACUGCACGGCGGUACCGCUGCAGAAACACCAGUUAUUGCUACUAUGCUAAGCUAGUUAGCUCUGUGUUAGCUCAGAUCGGAC
This is a long non-coding RNA of Gasterosteus aculeatus aculeatus (three-spined stickleback), 1062 nucleotides long. NCBI's taxonomy places the organism in Eukaryota, Metazoa, Chordata, Actinopteri, Perciformes, Gasterosteidae. The record is from Ensembl.